AUGCUGGUGUCUGGAGGCAGGCGGUGGGGCGUGCUCAGAUCGUGCCAUGACAGAAGCAGCGUGCAAACACGUGGCGCUGUGCCGUGCAAUGCACAUCUGACGGGCAGGUCCUGUGGACCCAGCACAGCGAGAGUCCCUCUGCAGGAGUGGGGGGCAGGGGCUCCCCUCCCGCCAAUGUCUGCAGAUCCCCAAGCCUCUUUCAUGACGCUGUGGGCUCUGCCACAGCCCCACCACCUCCCAGCAAUCCAGACCAUCCCUGAACUUCCCCGCAGCCUUUGCUCUCAAGGAGGCCGUGCCCUUCUCCCGACCGAGGGGAGAGCAGGUACACACACACACACACACACACACACCGUUACUCCCUUGUUCUGGGCCCUUUUUCCUCCCUCACAAAGGCCCCAACUCCUCUUCUUUGUCUUUCAUGGACAAACUUCUGGAAGUAGCCGGCUCGUGGCCUCUCCGUCACUCAGUGUGCUGGGCACCUGCCACGCUGCUCAGAUUACGCCGAGGGCUCUCGGGUCCUGGUCAUCCUCUGUCGCCAGCCCUGCUGCAGCUGUUGCCCGGCUCCCCGGCGGCUGCCAGCCUGUCCCCAUGGGCAUUCCCUGCCCUGCCAAGGCCGGGGUGGGGCCAGGCAGCGUGCUCAGGCCGCUGCCCCUCUCCACAGAGCUCUGUUUCACUCCCAUGGAAGUCCGUUCACAGCUCUGCUCUCACCCAGCUCUCUCCUUGGCCACUUUGGUUUGUGAUAUUCAGAAUCUUUUUUGCGAAAGAUUUAUUUAUUUGAAAGGUAGAGUUACAGAGAGAGAGGGAGAGGGAGGGAGAGAGAUCUGCCAUCUGCUGGUUCACUCCCCAAAGGGCUGCAACGGGCAGGGCUGGACCAGGCUGAAGCCGGAAGCCUACAACUCUGUUUCUCCCUUGGGGGUGACAGGGGCCCAAGGACUUGGGCCAUCUUCUACUGCUUUUCCAGGUGCAUUAACAGGGGGCUGCUCACAAGAAGAAGUGGAACAGGCAGGACUUGAACUGGUGCUUAUAUGGCACGGUGGCAUUGCAGGCAGUGGCUUAGCCUGCGGCACCACAAUGCCAGCCCCCAGAGCUUUCUCUUCCUCUCCCUGCCUAUUAGGGAUCCUUGUUGUCCCACCUCUCUGA
Molecule: long non-coding RNA, 1140 nt
Filed under: Oryctolagus cuniculus (rabbit)
Lineage: Eukaryota; Metazoa; Chordata; Mammalia; Lagomorpha; Leporidae
Description: lncRNA (ENSOCUG00000037946.1)
Source: RNAcentral